UACAGAGGGGGCAAGCGUUAUUCGGAAUUAUUGGGCGUAAAGGGCGCGUAGGCGGCCUGACAAGUGGAAGGUGAAAUCCCUCGGCUUAACCGAGGAACUGCCCUCCAAACUGUUUGGCUUGAGACCGGGAGAGGUGAGUGGAAUUCCCAGUGUAGCGGUGAAACGCGUAGAUAUUGGGAGGAACACCAGUGGCGAAGGCGGCUCACUGGACCGGUACUGACGCUGAGGCGCGAAAGCGUGGGGAGCAAACGGG
RNAcentral lists this ribosomal RNA (253 nucleotides) under uncultured bacterium. RNAcentral's name for it is "partial 16S ribosomal RNA". It matches the Rfam family "Bacterial small subunit ribosomal RNA", at positions 524 to 776 of the family's 1533-position model. The record is from RNAcentral.